UGUGUGGUCUAGACAGUCGCUUGCCUGUGAGGGUGAGAGGAAAGUCCGGGCUCCGCAGGGCAGGAGGGUUGCUAACGGCAACCGGGGGUGUCUCAAAGGCGCUUCCAGGGAAAGUGGCACAGAAAAUGUACCGCCCGGCUUGCGUGUCUGAUGCUCAGGAGAGCCCGAAAGCUCCGAGUACCGGUCGCGGCCUGUAAGGGCCCGGGUAAGGGUGAAAAGGUGCGGUAAAAGCGCACCGCGCGUCUGGCAACAGGCGUGGCAGGCCAAACCCCCUCCGGAGCAAGGCCAAAUAGGGACCGAUUGGGCGAAAGCCCGGCGAGGCGGCUCGUCUCGUAGCGAAUGUGACGCGAGAGGUCCGGGUAGGCUGCUGGAGCUGCGGGGUAACCCGCAGCCUAGACGAAUGACUGUCCCCGGCUUUCGGGCCGGGACAAAACCCGGCUUAUCGGAUCACAAAGACG
RNAcentral lists this RNase P RNA (458 nucleotides) under Planctomycetota bacterium. Its description in RNAcentral is "Planctomycetes bacterium (activated sludge metagenome) RNase P RNA component class A". It matches the Rfam family "Bacterial RNase P class A". Rfam says of the family: Ribonuclease P (RNase P) is a ubiquitous endoribonuclease, found in archaea, bacteria and eukarya as well as chloroplasts and mitochondria. Its best characterised activity is the generation of mature 5'-ends of tRNAs by cleaving the 5'-leader elements of precursor-tRNAs. Lineage: Bacteria; Pseudomonadati; Planctomycetota. The record is from RNAcentral.